UACUAUACUAAAAGAAGAAUAAACUCCACAGCUAAGGUGUCCACAUCAGCAAAUUAAUUCGAGCCAAUCAGAUUCUAAAUAUAUGCCAUGUCAGCACGACCUUAAUCUUCCUUGCAAAUUUGUCGAUCAAAAUCCCAGAAACAGAUCAUUUGCUCACCCCGUUACAAUCUCUACAUCUCUUUUUCUCUCUUCUCCGAGCUUCUCCGUUGGGUGAACGACUACUGUUGAAUUGAUUUCUUCCUUUCGAUUCGAUUCUCUCUACCGAUUACUAAGGUUCUCUCUCUCUCCAUAGAUCAUCUCUCCUUUGUUUAUCCGCGAACGUAUCUCUCUAUUCUGAGCAGUUAGAUAGCCACCUUCUUUCUCUUCUCUUCUAAUUUAGUCUUUUGAUAGAUCUGAUUGAGAUUUUUUGAGGGUUUCAUCUUUCCAGCUUAUGGGUUUCGAUAAAGCCUCUUCCUUUACUUACGAUCACCCAUCUGCUAUUGGUUCAUCAAUGGCUGUUGAGAAAGGUUGGUCGUGACUGAAGCUUGACUCCGGAGAUGAAGAACUCGCCGUGAAAGCUUGGUCGCGGUAAAGCUCCGAGAUGGUGAGGUUGAAGACGACUCGACAGAGACGAAGCUUUCACUGAGAAGAGCACGGCUUGACGAAGCGGGUAAGAAACAUCGGGUUGGAGCGACGAAGCCUAACCGUUCGUUCCAGUUUCGAAUCAUCACAAGUGCUGGAGCGGGCAACGCACAGCGGGUUGAUGAAGUGGCCGUACCAUGAGCGUGCGCUGGAGCAGGUGGUGCUAGCGAGGAGAAGAAACCGCUCGGGACCUCAAACAAACUCGAAGCUGCACAGCAGCUUCUCAAAACAGGCUGAUGAAACCGCUGUGGUCAUUGCACUGCUCGGAGCAGCUUAGUGGAGCGAGGAGAAGAGGCCGCUCGCUUUGGUGAUCGUUGUGGAAUUUGCCAGGUUCAUUCUUAUCAAGGAUAAUGAGUAACAGGAGCAGCAGCAAUCGUUUUGAUUAUUUAAAGUUGCAAGCUUUUUUCUAGAUUUAGGACAAACUUUCAGUUAUGAGUGCAUCAUGGGCAGAUGUGGCUGACUCUGAGAAGGCUGCUUCCAGGGCAAAGCCUGCUUAUGUUCCCACACAUCUAAGGAACAUGCAGUCUGAGCCUGUUGCUACUUUGCCACAAAAUGAUCGUCCGGGGUAUGGUGGUCAACCGUCUAGAUGGGCUCCUGGAGGUGGAGUUGGUGGAGGCGGUGGCUACAGGAAUGAUGUAGGGAGGACGAGUAAGUGGUGGUGGUGGCUGGAACAACAGAGGUGGAGGAUGGGACCGUGAAGUUAAUCCGUUUGGAGAUGAUGCUGAUUUAGAACCUGCCGUUCAGGAGAAUACUGGCAUUAAUUUUGAUGCUUAUGAAGAUAUUCCCAUCGAGACCAGUUGAGGAUACGUGCCUCCUCCUGUUAACACUUUUGCUGACAUUGAUUUUGGGGAGGCGUUGAAUCUCAACAUCAGGAGGUGUAAGUACGUGAGGACAACACCUGUACAGCGUCACGCCAUUCCGAUACUUCUUGCAGAGAGGGAUUGAUGGCAUGUGCUUAGACAGGGUCUGUGAAGACUGCUGCCUUUUGCUUUCCGAUAAUUAGUGGAAUCAUGAGAGAUCAGCACCUUCAGAGACCUCGUGGUUCACGGACCGUUUACCCUCUUGCAAUUAUCCUCUCACCAACAAGGGAGCUGGCAUCUCAGAUUCAUGAAGCGAAAACAUUCACAUGCCAAACUGGUGUGAAGGUCAUUGUUGCUUACGGAGGAACACCUAUUAACCAGCAGGUAAUUAUCAUGCACAUGUAAUUUUUCUUUCUUGGUUGUCCACCUUUGUCUUUGGAUAUUGUUUUAUGUUUUAUAGGGGUGUUGUCUAUUUUAAGUUAAUAGCAGCUUACGGCUUACUGGUUUGGGGUCUGCUAGCUCUAUUCUUCCUUAUAUCAGUCUCAUUUUUGAAAUUAUGUUUUGAUUUUGAAGUCAGCAGUGCAUGAUUAAUAUUGUAUCGUACAUAACAUCAUGUUUAACGUGAUCCUCAUCCUCUUCA
This is a long non-coding RNA of Brassica napus (rape), 2061 nucleotides long. RefSeq lists it as uncharacterized. The record is from RefSeq and is a predicted model, not a curated record. The transcript has 2 exons. Lineage: Eukaryota; Viridiplantae; Streptophyta; Magnoliopsida; Brassicales; Brassicaceae.